GAGUUCAGAGGUGUGCUCCUCCGAUCUCAGUGGACAAGAAGGCUGCUGGAGCUGGCAAGGUCACUAAGUCUGCCCAGAAAGCUCAGAAGGCUAAAUGAAUAUGAUCUCUGAUACCUG
Otolemur garnettii (small-eared galago) is the source of this 117-nucleotide long non-coding RNA. RefSeq lists it as uncharacterized. The record is from RefSeq and is a predicted model, not a curated record. The transcript is spliced from 5 exons. Lineage: Eukaryota; Metazoa; Chordata; Mammalia; Primates; Galagidae.